Molecule: ribosomal RNA, 253 nt
Filed under: uncultured bacterium
Lineage: Bacteria
Description: partial 16S ribosomal RNA
Rfam family: Bacterial small subunit ribosomal RNA
Source: RNAcentral
UACGUAGGGUGCGAGCGUGAAUCGGAAUUACUGGGCGUAAAGUGUGCGCAGGCGGUCGAGCAAGUCGAGUGUGAAAGCCCCGAGCUUAACUUGGGAACUGCGCUCGAAACUACUUGGCUAGAGUGUGGCAGAGGGAGGUGGAAUUCCACGUGCAGCAGUGAAAUGCGUAGAGAUGCGGAGGAACACCGAUGGCGAAGGCAGCCCCCUGGGCUAGCACUGACGCUCAGGCACGAAAGCGUGGGGAGCAAACAGG